UAAUUCGGUUCCUCUUGUCGCAGAGUUCAUGCAAAAGAGAAAUUCGAAAUGAAGGCUGGGCUGCUGAUGUACGAAAAGGAAAUAACAGCAGACAUUUAUUUCCUACAAUUCAAUUUUAGUUCUUUCCACCCUUGUUUGUUUUUGUAGAAAAUGGUGCGCGCAUACGUUCAUUCCUUCAAAUCCGUAACAUGAGGGAAACAGAAACAAGCUAUCAUCACCUUAAUCAGUGAUCCCGAAUUUGAGAAAAAAGUUUUCAAUUAUUUGUUUUACGAAAAAUGAAUUUUAUUAUUUACGCAUAUUAAUAUUACCCUUUUCUUCUUGUUAUAGGAUCUAAUGUUUACAUUAAGGGUUGAUAUAUUUUAUAAGUAAUUAAAUUAAGAAGAAUGAAGUACAGCAGAUUUGAAUGAGGAAAAAAAAACUAAUUCUGCAUUGCCGAAUUCGUUUAACUGAUAUUUUACAUUCCGAACAAAAAGAUAGCUAAUUUAUUAUUAUUUCGAAGUUCAGUCACAUUGUUAAUCACAUAUUUUAUCAAAUGAUUCGAUACACGUAUUCACAAGAGAUUGGACUAAAGGAAGAAGAUCAAAGCUUCACAGAUGAGAUGCAGAUAUAACAGAUUUCGAAGAUAUUGAUAUUUAAAUAGACUGAAGUUAUACUUGGUUAAUUAUACACAGAAAUUAAUCGUGCUAUUGUUAAAUUAAUACUUUCGUGGUAUGGAU
Molecule: long non-coding RNA, 716 nt
Filed under: Neodiprion lecontei (redheaded pine sawfly)
Lineage: Eukaryota; Metazoa; Arthropoda; Insecta; Hymenoptera; Diprionidae
Description: uncharacterized LOC124295117
Source: RNAcentral